Molecule: ribosomal RNA, 453 nt
Filed under: uncultured bacterium
Lineage: Bacteria
Description: bacterial SSU rRNA
Rfam family: Bacterial small subunit ribosomal RNA
Source: RNAcentral
UACGGGAGGCAGCAGUGGGGAAUAUUGCACAAUGGGCGCAAGCCUGAUGCAGCCAUGCCGCGUGUAUGAAAAAGGCCUUCGGGUUGUAAAGUACUUUCAGUCGUGAGGAAGGUGUUAAGGUUAAUAACCUUAGCAAUUGACGUUAGCGACAGAAGAAGCACCGGCUAACUCCGUGCCAGCAGCCGCGGUAAUACGGAGGGUGCGAGCGUUAAUCGGAAUUACUGGGCGUAAAGGGCACGCAGGCGGUUAAUUAAGUUGGAUGUGAAAUCCCCGGGCUUAACCUGGGAAUGGCAUUCAAGACUGGUUAGCUAGAGUCUUGUAGAGGGGGUAGAAUUCCAUGUGUAGCGGUGAAAUGCGUAGAGAUGUGGAGGAAUACCGGUGGCGAGGGCGGCCCCUGGACAAAGACUGACGCUCAUGUGCGAAAGCGUGGGGAGCAAACAGGGAUUAGAUACC